RNAcentral lists this ribosomal RNA (379 nucleotides) under uncultured bacterium. RNAcentral describes it as "bacterial SSU rRNA". It matches the Rfam family "Bacterial small subunit ribosomal RNA", at positions 8 to 387 of the family's 1533-position model. The record is from RNAcentral.
AGAGUUUGAUCCUGGCUCAGAUUGAACGCUGGCGGAAUGCUUUACACAUGCAAGUCGAGCGGCAGCGCGGGGGCAACCCUGGCGGCGAGCGGCGAACGGGUGAGUAAUACAUCGGAACGUGUCCUUAAGUGGGGGAUAGCUCGGCGAAAGCCGGAUUAAUACCGCAUAAGCUCUGAGGAGGAAAGCGGGGGACCGGUAACGGCCUCGCGCUGUUGGAGCGGCCGAUGUCGGAUUAGCUAGUUGAUGGGGUAAAGGCUCACCAAGGCGACGAUCCGUAGCUGGUCUGAGAGGAUGAUCAGCCACACUGGAACUGAGACACGGUCCAGACUCCUACGGGAGGCAGCAGUGGGGAAUUUUGGACAAUGGGGGCAACCCUGAU